AUCGAUGAAGAACGCAGCGAAACGCGAAAGGUAAUGCGAAUUGCAGAAUCAGUGAGUCAUCGAAUCUUUGAACGCACAUUGCGCCUCUCGGUAUUCCGGGAGGCACGCCUGUUCGAGCGCCAUUACACACUCCAAGCUCUGCUUGAUGUUGGACGCUGCGGAACCCCUUCGAGGGGGCUGCACGUCUGGAACACGUGGGCGUCCGGCCUGUCGAGAAACCGCGAGCGUAGCAAGACACAAAUUUUGUCAUUCGCUCUGUCGGACCUCCAGCGGACGGUUUGUGGUCAAGAAUUCUCAAUUCUGUCCACCAUCAUAAAGUUUGGCCUCGGAUCAGGCGGGGAUACCCGCUGAACUUAAGCAUAUCAAUAAGCGGAGGAAAAGAAACCAACAGGGAUUGCCCCAGUAACGGCGAGUGAAGCGGCAACAGCUCAAAUUUGAAAUCUGGCGUCUUGGGCGUCCGAGUUGUAAUUUGUAGAGGGAGCCUCGGGUUAAGGGUCGGUCCAAGUGCCUUGGAACAGGAUACCGCAGAGGGUGAGAGUCCCGUAUCCGGCCGACGCCUGCGCCCGUGUGAGGCCUCUUCGACGAGUCGAGUUGUUUGGGAAUGCAGCUCUAAAUGGGUGGUAAAUUCCAUCUAAAGCUAAAUACCGGCCAGAGACCGAUAGCGCACAAGUAGAGUGAUCGAAAGAUGAAAAGCACUUUGAAAAGAGAGUCAAACAGUACGUGAAAUUGUUGAAAGGGAAGCGUAUGUGGGCAGACUUGGCCGUGGGAUUCAGCCCGUCUUCUGGCGGGUGUACUUUCUCACGGACAGGCCAGCAUCGGUUCUGGGGGUCGGACAAAGGCAGCGGGAAUGUGGCUCCCCUCGGGGAGUGUUAUAGCCCGUUGUGCAAUGCGGCCACCUGGGACCGAGGACCGCGCUUCGGCAAGGAUGCUGGCGUAAUGGCCUCAUACGGCCCGUCUUGAAACACGG
This 967-nucleotide ribosomal RNA is filed under the name uncultured Ascomycota. RNAcentral's name for it is "eukaryotic LSU rRNA". The stretch from base 321 to 967 matches the Rfam family "Eukaryotic large subunit ribosomal RNA", at positions 1 to 664 of the family's 3401-position model. Lineage: Eukaryota; Fungi; Ascomycota. The record is from RNAcentral.